AAUGGAGGAAAGCUAUGAUGGAGGAGAUGGAGGCACUUGACAGAAACAAUACUUGGGUAAUGAUGAUGAUGGGAUAGCAUGCUUGAAGAAGAUGUUGGCAAAAUCAUUUGAAGUCAAGGAUCUGGGUUUUCUUCACUAUUUCCUAGGCAUUGAGGUUGUAUAUGGACCAGAAGGUAUUUAUCUAUCCCAGCGAAAAUAUGUGCUUGAUUUACUUGCUGAGACUGGGAUGCUAGGGUGUAAACCAGCUUCUACACCUAUAGAGUUGAACCAUCGUACUCGUGCUGACCUGGGUGACACACUAGAUAAACAAAAUUACCAGAGACUUGUGGGGCGCUUGAUUUAUUUAUCACAUACUAGACCAGACAUUGCAUAUGCUGUUAGUAUUGUUAGUCGAUAUAUGCAUGAUCCCAGAACCAGUCAUAUGGAUAUUGUAAAACGAAUCUUGAGAUAUCUGAAAAGCUGCCCUGGGAAGGGAAUUCUGUUUUCCAAGAA
Long non-coding RNA from Lolium rigidum, 492 nucleotides. RefSeq lists it as uncharacterized. NCBI's taxonomy places the organism in Eukaryota, Viridiplantae, Streptophyta, Magnoliopsida, Poales, Poaceae. The transcript is spliced from 2 exons. The record is from RefSeq and is a predicted model, not a curated record.